RNAcentral lists this ribosomal RNA (301 nucleotides) under uncultured bacterium. RNAcentral's name for it is "partial 16S ribosomal RNA". It matches the Rfam family "Bacterial small subunit ribosomal RNA", at positions 509 to 808 of the family's 1533-position model. The record is from RNAcentral.
CAGCCGCCGCGGUAAUACGUAGGUCCCGAGCGUUGUCCGGAUUUAUUGGGCGUAAAGCGAGCGCAGGCGGUUAGAUAAGUCUGAAGUUAAAGGCUGUGGCUUAACCAUAGUACGCUUUGGAAACUGUUUAACUUGAGUGCAAGAGGGGAGAGUGGAAUUCCAUGUGUAGCGGUGAAAUGCGUAGAUAUAUGGAGGAACACCGGUGGCGAAAGCGGCUCUCUGGCUUGUAACUGACGCUGAGGCUCGAAAGCGUGGGGAGCAAACAGGAUUAGAGACCCCGGUAGUCCCUGUCUCUUAUACA